RNAcentral lists this ribosomal RNA (132 nucleotides) under Cercocebus atys (sooty mangabey). Lineage: Eukaryota; Metazoa; Chordata; Mammalia; Primates; Cercopithecidae. The record is from RNAcentral.
GCCUACAGGCAUAUCACCCUAAAUAUGCUUGAUCUCAUUUGAUCUUUGAAGCUAAACUAGGUCAGGCCUGGUUAGUACUUGGAUGGGAGAAACAUUCUCUAAACUGUGAUUCCUACUUUAGUUUUGUGGGUU